RNAcentral lists this long non-coding RNA (313 nucleotides) under Mytilus galloprovincialis (Mediterranean mussel). The record is from RNAcentral. Lineage: Eukaryota; Metazoa; Mollusca; Bivalvia; Mytilida; Mytilidae.
CAAAAAAAAUAUAUAGGUCACCGUGCUUGUUUUCGAGAUAUGAGCCAUUGAAAUUUUGACGGGAAAAAAAUCUCUCUUGACUUUUCAUAGCUUUAUAGCAUUGACAAGUUGAAGUUCUCAAAAACUGUUAAAAAGUAAUUAAAAUUUUAUAAGACUUUUACAGUUGGCUUAUCAUUAUACAUGUAAAAGAUUUUCAAAAAGAAAAAUGGGGGUCACCAGGCAAAUUUUUUCAAGGCAUUCAAAUGGAUGAAACCAGAGGAUUCCGAAAAUCUGACAAAAAAUCCAAAACAUGACAAGCCAGCUUCCUUAAUAU